RNAcentral lists this transfer RNA (75 nucleotides) under Bacillus velezensis. Its description in RNAcentral is "tRNA-Gly". It matches the Rfam family "tRNA". Rfam says of the family: Transfer RNA (tRNA) molecules are approximately 80 nucleotides in length. Their secondary structure includes four short double-helical elements and three loops (D, anti-codon, and T loops). The record is from RNAcentral. Lineage: Bacteria; Bacillati; Bacillota; Bacilli; Caryophanales; Bacillaceae.
GCGGAAGUAGUUCAGUGGUAGAACAUCACCUUGCCAAGGUGGGGGUCGGAGGUUCGAAUCCCGUCUUCCGCUCCA